GCUGCUGUGGCUCAGUUGGCAGAGCAGCUGAUUCGUAAUCAGCAGGUCGCCGGUUCGAAUCCGGCCAGCAGCUCCA
RNAcentral lists this transfer RNA (76 nucleotides) under Clostridiaceae bacterium. Its description in RNAcentral is "tRNA-Thr". It matches the Rfam family "tRNA". From Rfam's summary of the family: Transfer RNA (tRNA) molecules are approximately 80 nucleotides in length. Their secondary structure includes four short double-helical elements and three loops (D, anti-codon, and T loops). Further hydrogen bonds mediate the characteristic L-shaped molecular structure. tRNAs have two regions of fundamental functional importance: the anti-codon, which is responsible for specific mRNA codon recognition, and the 3' end, to which the tRNAs corresponding amino acid is attached (by aminoacyl-tRNA synthetases). tRNAs cope with the degeneracy of the genetic code in two manners: having more than one tRNA (with a specific anti-codon) for a particular amino acid; and 'wobble' base-pairing, i.e. permitting non-standard base-pairing at the 3rd anti-codon position. Lineage: Bacteria; Bacillati; Bacillota; Clostridia; Eubacteriales; Clostridiaceae. The record is from RNAcentral.